GUACUGUCUUCCAGGAUUUUAUGGCUUUAGGUCUCACAUUUAAGUCUUUAAUCUAAUUUUGAGUUUAUUUUUGUAUAUGGUGAAAAUGAGAAGGUUGUCCAAUUU
Lynx canadensis (Canada lynx) is the source of this 105-nucleotide long non-coding RNA. RefSeq lists it as uncharacterized. The record is from RefSeq and is a predicted model, not a curated record. NCBI's taxonomy places the organism in Eukaryota, Metazoa, Chordata, Mammalia, Carnivora, Felidae. The transcript is spliced from 3 exons.